This is a long non-coding RNA of Propithecus coquereli (Coquerel's sifaka), 400 nucleotides long. RefSeq lists it as uncharacterized. The transcript has 2 exons. Lineage: Eukaryota; Metazoa; Chordata; Mammalia; Primates; Indriidae. The record is from RefSeq and is a predicted model, not a curated record.
ACAUGUUUAAUACUAUAGGGCAUCUACAUAGGCUGUAAAUUUCUUUAAAUGAUAGAUGCAAAGAUGGAAGACAGAUGGAUAGAGGAAAAGACAGAAUCGGAUACCGCAUGAGUUAGUACUGUUGCCCGUGCUCCAGGGCUGGGCUAGCAAGCUCCGACGUCCCCACAUCCCCCACGCCCUCCCCCUGCAAUGUACCGAUUUAUAUGAAAAUUAAGAUUACAAAUUAAAAGCCUGGCUAUCCUGGAGUUUUCCAGUUCAUCAGCCAUCCAAUAAAAAUGAUGUCAAGCCUGUAUGCAUAAUUCCCAGAAGAUUACUUUGUCCUUACAGCUAAGCCCUGUCCCUGAUAUGAAAGAUCUCUAUCCACUUUUAUUGAAAUAAAGAACUAACAUCAUAAUCCCAA